Strongylocentrotus purpuratus (purple sea urchin) is the source of this 313-nucleotide long non-coding RNA. RefSeq lists it as uncharacterized. The record is from RefSeq and is a predicted model, not a curated record. The transcript is spliced from 3 exons. Lineage: Eukaryota; Metazoa; Echinodermata; Echinoidea; Camarodonta; Strongylocentrotidae.
AUGGACAGACACAGAUGGUAUUGGUGGAGGUGGAGGUCAAAAGGCUACCAUAGCAACCCCUCCAUUCAAUCUGACAGGUGAUGAAGGGUGGCUGACAUUCUGGUAUCACUUAUAUGGGGAUGGAAAACUCGAGGUCAGUGUGUGUCAGGAUGGAGAGACAGUUCUCAUCCUUUCUGGAGAUCAAGGAAACGAAUGGCAUGAACAGAACACCACAGUGUCAUGUGGAGAUAAUCCAGUUCAGAUUACUUUCACGUCAACUAGAAGUUCAACAUUGAGUGAUGUGGGUGUUGAUGAUCUCUAUCUCUACCACCAU